UCCGUAGGUGAACCUGCGGAAGGAUCAUUAUCGAGUUUUGACUGGGUUGUAGCUGGCCUUCCGAGGCAUGUGCACGCCCUGCUCAUCCACUCUACACCUGUGCACUUACUGUGGGCUUCAGACGUCGCGAAGCGGGCUCUUUACUGAGCCUGUAGAGCGGUGUCUGUGCCUGCGUUUAUCACAAACUCCAUAAAGUAUUAGAAUGUGUAUUGCGAUGUAACGCAUCUAUAUACAACUUUCAGCAACGGAUCUCUUGGCUCUCGCAUCGAUGAAGAACGCAGCGAAAUGCGAUAAGUAAUGUGAAUUGCAGAAUUCAGUGAAUCAUCGAAUCUUUGAACGCACCUUGCGCUCCUUGGUAUUCCGAGGAGCAUGCCUGUUUGAGUGUCAUGAAAUCUUCAACUUACAGACCUUUGCGGGUUUGUAGGCUUGGACUUGGAGGCUUGUCGGCCGUGUUUCGGCCGGCUCCUCUUAAAUGCAUUAGCUUGAUUCCUUGCGGAUCGGCUCUCGGUGUGAUAAUGUCUACGCCGCGACCGUGAAGCGUUUUGGCGAGCUUCUAACCGUCCUCGUUUGGACAGCUUUAUGACCUCUGACCUCAAAUCAGGUAGGACUACCCGCUGAACUUAAGCAUAUCAAUAAGCGGAGGA
This 644-nucleotide ribosomal RNA is filed under the name Ganoderma subamboinense var. laevisporum. Its description in RNAcentral is "eukaryotic LSU rRNA". The stretch from base 234 to 387 matches the Rfam family "5.8S ribosomal RNA". The record is from RNAcentral. Lineage: Eukaryota; Fungi; Basidiomycota; Agaricomycetes; Polyporales; Polyporaceae.